GAUGAACGCUGGCGGCGUGCCUAAUACAUGCAAGUCGAGCGAACAGACCAGGAGCUUGCUCCUCUUACGUUAGCUGCGGACGGGUGAGUAACACUUGGAUAACCUCCCUCUAAGACUGGGAUAACUUCGAGAAACCGGAGCUAAUACCGGUUACUAUAUUGAACCGAAUGGUUCAAUAGUGAAAGACUGUUUUUCUGUCACUUAUAGAUGGAUCCGCGCCUCAUUAGCUAGUUGGUAAGGUAACGGCUUACCAAGGCAACGAUGCGUAGCCGACCUGAGAGGGAGAUCGGCCACACAGAAACUGAGACACGGUCCAGACAAAUACGGGAGGCAGCAGUAGGGAAGCUUCCGCAAUGGGCGAAAGCCUGACGGAGCAACGCAGGGUGAGUGAUGAAGGUCGUCGGAUCGUAAAACUCUGUUAUUAGGGAAGAACAAAUGUGUAAGUAACUAUGAACGUCUGGACGGUACCUAAGCAGAAAGCCACGGCUAACUACGU
RNAcentral lists this ribosomal RNA (496 nucleotides) under uncultured bacterium. RNAcentral's name for it is "partial 16S ribosomal RNA". It matches the Rfam family "Bacterial small subunit ribosomal RNA", at positions 28 to 506 of the family's 1533-position model. The record is from RNAcentral.